UACACCGCAGGCGGUUGAAAUACCGCUACCAGUGGAAAUUACGCCGUAAAAGGCAUGGUUUAGUAAGCGAAAGCCCAGGAACCAUGAGGCAAUAAGA
RNAcentral lists this non-coding RNA (97 nucleotides) under unclassified sequences. RNAcentral describes it as "RT-4 RNA". It matches the Rfam family "RT-4 RNA". The record is from Rfam by way of RNAcentral.